RNAcentral lists this ribosomal RNA (722 nucleotides) under uncultured microorganism. RNAcentral describes it as "bacterial SSU rRNA". It matches the Rfam family "Bacterial small subunit ribosomal RNA", at positions 59 to 763 of the family's 1533-position model. The record is from RNAcentral.
GAGUCGUGCGGGGUGGUAGCAUACCAUCUAGCGGCGAACGGGUGAGUAACACGUGGAUGAUCUACCUUCGAGAUCGGGACAACUAACCGAAAGGUUAGCUAAUACCGGGUAUGACCACGGCCAGUAUCAUCUGGCUGAGGUAAGAGCAGGGGACCGCAAGGCCUUGCGCUUGAAGAUGAGUCCGCGGCUGAUUAGCUAGUUGGCGGGGUAAUGGCCCACCAAGGCGACGAUCAGUAGCCGGCCUGAGAGGGUGACCGGCCACACUGGGACUGAGACACGGCCCAGACUCCUACGGGAGGCAGCAGUAGGGAAUUUUCCACAAUGGGCGCAAGCCUGAUGGAGCAACGCCGCGUGAGGGAUGAAGCAUUUCGGUGUGUAAACCUCUUUGGAGCGGGAAGAACGCCGUUUGGGUGAACAAUCCAGACGGGUGACGGUACCGCUAGAACAAGACACGGCUAACUUCGUGCCAGCAGCCGCGGUAAUACGAAGGUGUCAAACGUUGUCCGGAAUUAUUGGGCGUAAAGGGCGCGUAGGCGGCCAGGUAAGCGAGAUGUGAAAGCUCUGGGCUCAACCCAGGAAUUGCAUUUCAUACUGCUUGGCUUGAGUUCGGUUGAGGAGGGCGGAAUUCCAGAAGUAGCGGUGAAAUGCGUAGAUAUCUGGAGGAACACCCGUGGCGAAGGCGGCUCUCUGGUCCGAUACUGACGCUGAGGCGCGAAAGGUAG